Macaca mulatta (Rhesus monkey) is the source of this 3031-nucleotide non-coding RNA. Lineage: Eukaryota; Metazoa; Chordata; Mammalia; Primates; Cercopithecidae. The record is from RefSeq and is a predicted model, not a curated record.
AAUGCCCGUUUUUAUGAUUCAGAAAUAUCCCGCGGCAAACCUAUUGUGAUGUUAUACCAGGAACAAUUAAAUGGACCAAAGCAAUGCAAUUAAGGCAGAGAAGAAAUAAGAUGGCAAAUGGGGAGAAAUAAACAGAUUCUUUCCCAUUAAGUAUUGUUUUGAGAUUUCUAAUUUUUUCAAGACCUCUAAGAAAAUUGUGAGGUGUCACUUCUCUCUUCUGGGUCUAUCUGUAAUUGAAUCUAGGUCACUAUUCUAAAGCAAGAAAAGUCUGCUUUCCACUUUCCUACAUCAGGCUGAAAUUUGGGGGAGGGACAAGGGUCUUGCAGUUUCAUUUAAAAUGUAAUGGUGGAUGAACUGAUAAGCAAAUAGGGAAAAAAGAGUCUGCUUAAAAGAAAAAAAAAAGGCAUGGUUUUAAUAUGCUACAGAUGGGGGGAAAAUGAUUUACAUGAGAGUUUAUUUCCUCUUUGCUGAUAUGAAAGAAUUACAGAUACAAAACCCACUGAUCUAUAGAAUAAAAAAAGAAAAGAAAUGUUAUUUUCCUGUAAAGGUGUCAGUUCAUUUAUAUUCAUUUAACCAUCCAUCCAUCAAUUCACUUUCUCACUCCUUGCACAUUCUCUCUGGCUCUGUUAAACCUUCGCCUACCAAUAGACUUUGCUAGAAUAUGCAAUGAAGUUUUCUUUUAAAAAAUAAUGUGAGAUUAAGAUGAAGUAGGUAAAGAUAAGUAAAGAGAGAAGGUUUUGUCAUUGUUGUUAAAUAAUUACCCCCUAAUAAUUCAGCAUUAUGUUUUAUGAUUGUAGAACAAAAUUUUACCCAUAUUCACAUCUCGUUACUGCUGCAGUUCGAGUACAUACAACAUGCCAGUGGUUAAGAAUAUAUGCAAAGGAUAUGCAAUUAUUUUUUCAUAAGAUAUGCAUGCAAUACAAAGAAAUUUAUUAGUUAUAAACCUUCCUGUAACAUAAAAAAUGCAGCAAAAGAUGAGUCAGAUGUUGGGUCAAUAAUUCAUUGUUUUAUUAAAACAGCUGUUGUCAUAAGUAUGAACUAGUUCACAUUUCCCUAAGGAUUUCCUGCUUGCUCAAGGUAUGAGCAACAUCAAAUCUUUUAUGUUUGAAGUUUCCAGGUCCAAAUAAAUGUAUAGUAAAAUUUGCAUAUAUUAACAAAGAAAUGAGGGGGGCAGUCAUUUGAGGAGCUUCCAAGUGCUAGAGAAGAUUACAUAAGAAUAGGUUUUACUUUUCCUGAAAUAAAAAUUGAUGACCAGUAUGACAGAUAUUUCCUCCAUAUUCUCCGAAAUAAAGGGGUAAUAUAGUGUCAUCCCCUCUUUCAAUGACACGCAAAUGAAUGACUAGAGACCUAUAGACCUAAGCAAGGACAAGACCAACAACCAGCAUCUGAUGCUGGUUUUCAUAAGUAAGAAAAACAGUACAUUGUUUAAGACAGCAAUGCAUUCUCACAGGAUGAAUCUUCUCCAGACUGAAGACCAUUUCCUUCAACCUUUUUUUUUUCUGUCUUAUCCCUUUUUCCUCCUCUUGUUUAGUUUUCUUUUCUUUUCUUCUUUUUUUAACCUGUAAAUACUAUUGAUGACUCAGAAAUUUUCUUUCUAGGUCUUCAUAAAUUAUCAGCAUAAUUCUUUGUCAUGCCUGUUUCUUGCUGGCCUCACUUUCUCUCACUGUGGUAAUCCAUUUUCUUACUCACCUAACUUUUAAUCGACCAAACUGAGCAUGAGGCAGAAGGAUGAACAGUUUGGGCAGAAGUUAAAAUGUCUCAUGUAUGUUUUGACUCAAACUCUAUAGACUUAUUUGUAGCAAGUGCUUAUGACAUAAAUCAGCUGGAUGAGAGGGCAGCUUUAAGGCAUUUUAGAAUUGUUUCUUACCAUUGUCUUUUACUUCCUGGGCUCUUCAGUGUUUGUCAUAAUUAUACCUAGUUAGAAGGCUUCAUUUGCUUUGAGUUAUCAUUGAGAACUAAAUUGAGAAGAAAAGAACUGAAGGCCUGAAGAUAUGUCAUCUGUAGAAAAGGUGAGCUGAACUUUUCUCUGUCUGAAUAUACUUUGAGUUUACAAUGAGACAUUUACGUAUUUGUAUAUAUCGGUUAUACUCUGAGCUAAUGUGAACACAAACUUGGUAUAAAUACAGAUGACUCCCUCUCUGCUGCUGUGGCAGGUUCAUCUGACACCUGGGGCUCAGACCAGUCUUUUUAACACAUGCUUGGUGAAAUUCAAAGUGUAUCACACAACUACAGCAGCAUUCAUGGCCAACCUAUUUGGUAGGAAGGAUUGAAAUCAGAUGGGAGGUCAAUUUGCUGUCUAAAUCAAACAAACUUAGCUCCUUUGCAGAUAAUUGAAGAUGCUGCAACAUUGCCUGAAAACAUUUUAUAAUAAACAGAUGAAAUAAGUGAUAAUGAAGGUGGGUUUGGAUUUUUUAUUUUAGAAGGAGAUAUUUCAUAGAAAAUAUGAAUCCUUGUCUCAUGAUUAGUGUCUCUCUGCAACAGCCUCAUCCUUCUGCAGAUGAUCUCUUCUCAAGCUUUCUUGGCAAAUCAAGAGCUUCUGCCUUUUGGGGGACAUCCUCUUGACCUCCCACCCAUGUCAGCUCUUAGAGGACAUUCCACAGGAACAUUGUCUUCUUGUCUUCCGGUAUUUUUUAUGGAAACAGAAAUUAGGUUAUCUUCCCUAUGCUCUAGACGGACAUCUGAAAUCAUCAAACCCUUGAGAGAAAGAGCCCUCAUUCUUUUUUGAGACGACCUGGAAGAAAACAGGACUCUGAAGAUUUGUCUCCAUAUUCUCUGGAAAGAUGUACUCUGUUUGCAAUAAGAGGGAGCCACAUGGCUUAUCAGAUGGUUGUUAACUGAGCAUUCUGUGCAAAGAAUUUGUGCCUUAGAUUUAGAAUUCCACCCUCAGCUGGAAUACAGAUGAUCCCUAACAAGUCACAUGAAAAAAUGAAUUGUGGAGCCAGAAGAGUGAGUCCUUGGAGAACUAAGGGCCAGAGACCUGUGAGCAAGAUUUGAUAAUUUUAUAAAAAUUAAAAGAUGAUUUGAAAUGUUA